CACUUCAAAGAGUGGCAGCUCAACCAGAAGAAACGAUCGGAGUCCUUUCGUUUCCAGCAGGAAAAUCUUAAACGGCUAAGAGACAGCAUCACCCGAAGACAGAGAGAGAAGCAAAAAUCAGGAAAGCAGACAGACUUGGAGAUCACGGUCCCAAUUCGGCACUCACAGCACCUGCCUGCAAAAGUGGAGUUUGGAGUCUAUGAGAGUGGCCCCAGGAAAAGUGUCAUUCCCCCCAGGACGGAGCUGAGACGAGGAGACUGGAAAACAGACAGCACCUCCAGCACAGCAAGUAGCACAAGUAACCGCUCCAGCACCCGGAGCCUCCUCAGUGUGAGCAGCGGGAUGGAAGGGGACAACGAGGUGAGAGCUGGGACUCCACCCCACCUAUCCUGUCCUAGGGGUCGUUUCAUCGCAAGAGAUAGAAACCCAGGUGAAAGGAGCCAGGCACAAAAGGUCAUAUAUUAUAGGAUUCCAUUUAUAUGAAAUUCCAGAGUGGGCAAAUCCACAGAGACAGUUUGAAGAUUGGUGGUUGCCAGCGGCUGGAGGGAGGAGGAAUGGGAAGAAACUGCUUAAUGGGGACAGGUGUAUUAGGGUUCUCU
Molecule: small RNA, 599 nt
Filed under: Pan troglodytes (chimpanzee)
Lineage: Eukaryota; Metazoa; Chordata; Mammalia; Primates; Hominidae
Description: processed transcript
Source: RNAcentral